RNAcentral lists this ribosomal RNA (142 nucleotides) under Candida albicans. RNAcentral describes it as "internal transcribed spacer 1". The record is from RNAcentral. Lineage: Eukaryota; Fungi; Ascomycota; Pichiomycetes; Serinales; Debaryomycetaceae.
CUGAUUUGCUUAAUUGCACCACAUGUGUUUUUCUUUUGAAAACAAACUUGCUAUUGGCGGUGGGCCCAGCCUGCCGCCAGAGGUCUAAACUUACAACCAAUUUUUUAUUAACUUGUCACACCAGAUUAUUACUUAAUAGUCA